Molecule: ribosomal RNA, 975 nt
Filed under: uncultured euryarchaeote
Lineage: Archaea; Methanobacteriati; Methanobacteriota
Description: bacterial SSU rRNA
Rfam family: Archaeal small subunit ribosomal RNA
Source: RNAcentral
GCAGCAGUUAGGAAUCUUCUGCAAUGCGCGAAAGGUGACAGAGUGAGUCAGAGUGUCUGCCUUUUGGUAGACUUUUGUGGAAUGUAAAGAGUUCUACGAAUAAGGACUGGGUAAGACUAGUGCCAGCCGCCGCGGUAAUACUAGCGGUCCAAGUCGCAGCCACUUUUAUUGGGUCUAAAACAUCCGUAGCUUGCUUGAUAAGUCUUUUGUGAAAUCCUGUAUCUCAAGUAUAGGACUUGCGAAAGAUACUGUUAGGCUAGAGACCGGGAGACGUAAGGAGUACGUUCGAAGUAGCGGUAAAAUGUGUUGAUCUCGGACGGACUAACGAGAGCGAAGGCACCUUACGAGAACGGAUCUGACAGUAAGGGAUGAAGGCCAGGGUCGCGAAACGGAUUAGAUACCCGUGUAGUCCUGGCAGUGAACACUGCACACUAAACAUUGGGAUCUCCUCGAGAGAUUUCAGUGCUGAAGGGAAGCUCAAGAGUGUGCUACCUGGGAAGUAUAGUCGCAAGGUCGAAACUUAAAGGAAUUGGCGGGGAGACACUACAACGGGUGACGCGUGCGGUUCAAUGAGAUUAUACACCGUGAACCUCACCAGGAGCGACAGCAGAAUGAAGGUCAGUCUGAAGGGCUUACCUGACACGCUGAGAGGAGUUGCAUGGCCGACGUCAGCCUGUGCUGUGAGGCGACCUGUUAAAUCAGGUAACAGGCAAGACCCUCGUGCUUAUUUACUAUGUGUACAAUAAGUAGAUUGCCGUGGUAACACGGAUGAAAGUGAGGGCUACGUUAGGUAGUACAGCCCGAAUCCCCUGGGUAACACGCGCGCGUCAAAGGUAGAUGCAGCGGGAUGCGACUCUGAAAAGAGAAGCUAAUCCCUUAAUGUCUAUCUCAGUCUAGAUUGAGGUUUGCAACCCAGCCUCAUGACACUGGAAUCCGUAGUAAUCGGACGUUAGCAGCAUCCGGUGAAUAAGUCAC